AACAUGAUGACAAACUGUUUCGGUCCCAUAUGAGUUCUUGUGAUUACUGACAUGAGAUCGUUCUGAUGUU
Xenopus tropicalis (tropical clawed frog) is the source of this 70-nucleotide small nucleolar RNA. Its record names the gene SNORD73. It matches the Rfam family "Small nucleolar RNA SNORD73". Rfam says of the family: U73 is a member of the C/D class of snoRNA which contain the C (UGAUGA) and D (CUGA) box motifs. U73 is encoded within the introns of ribosomal protein S3a and contains a 12nt region of complementarity to a conserved sequence in 28S ribosomal RNA. U73 is therefore thought to function as a 2'-O-ribose methylation guide for pre-rRNA. The record is from Ensembl. NCBI's taxonomy places the organism in Eukaryota, Metazoa, Chordata, Amphibia, Anura, Pipidae.